UAAACGAAAGCCAAAUAGGCACCUAUCUGUUAAGUAGGCCUCUGUUAAUCCAUAACUCGUUUAA
RNAcentral lists this transfer RNA (64 nucleotides) under Hemipodia simplex. RNAcentral describes it as "tRNA-Asn". The record is from RNAcentral. Lineage: Eukaryota; Metazoa; Annelida; Polychaeta; Phyllodocida; Glyceridae.